RNAcentral lists this ribosomal RNA (530 nucleotides) under Saprinus subnitescens. RNAcentral describes it as "partial 16S ribosomal RNA". It matches the Rfam family "Bacterial large subunit ribosomal RNA", at positions 1819 to 2621 of the family's 2925-position model. Lineage: Eukaryota; Metazoa; Arthropoda; Insecta; Coleoptera; Histeridae. The record is from RNAcentral.
GUCUUUUUGAUUUAAUUUAAAGUCUGACCUGCCCCCUGAGGAGUUUAAAGGCUGCAGUAUCUUGACUGUACAAAGGUAGCAUAAUCAUUAGUCUCUUAAUUAGAGGCUUGUAUGAAUGGUUUGACGAAGGAACAACUGUCUCAAUUUAAUUUUUUUUGAAAUUUAUAUUUAAGUUAGAAAGCUUAAAUGUUUUUAAAAGACGAGAAGACCCUAUAGAGUUUUAUAAAUUAGUAUAGUUAAUGCUUUUUAGUAUAAUUAGGGUUAUCUUUAUGAAUUUAUUUUGUUGGGGUGAUAGAAAAAUUAGAUUAACUUUUUUUAUUUAAAACAAUAAUGUUUGAUUAAAUGAUCCGUUUAGGCGAUUAUAAGAUUAAAUUACCUUAGGGAUAACAGCGUAAUUUUUUUUGAGAGUUCUUAUUAAAAAGAAAGUUUGCGACCUCGAUGUUGGAUUAAAAUUAAUAGUUGGUGUAGAAGCUAACUUAUUAGGUCUGUUCGACCUUUGAAAUUUUACGUGAUCUGAGUCCCAAACCGGA